AAUCCACCUCACCCUUUGUGCACCACCGCGUGGGUGCCCUUUUGUGAUCAGACCUGAUCUCGGAGGGUGCUCGCGUUUUCACACAAACCCCCCCUUUUAAAAGUGUAGAGUGACCUCAUUUAUGCGCUAACCCGCAAUCAAUACAACUUUCAACAACGGAUCUCUUGGCUCUCGCAUCGAUGAAGAACGCAGCGAAAUGCGAUACGUAAUGUGAAUUGCAGAAUUCAGUGAAUCAUCGAAUCUUUGAACGCACCUUGCGCCCCUUGUUAUUNCNAGGGGCACACCCGUUUGAGUGUCGUGAAAAUCUCAACCUCCUUGGUUUCUUCUGGAGACCAAAGGAGGCUUGGACUUUGGAGGCAUUUGCUGGCAUCUUCUCUCUUUUGAAGGUUCAGCUCCUCUCAAAUGAAUUAGCGGGGUCCUCUUUGCCGAUCCUUGACA
RNAcentral lists this ribosomal RNA (438 nucleotides) under uncultured Russulaceae. Its description in RNAcentral is "eukaryotic LSU rRNA". The stretch from base 145 to 298 matches the Rfam family "5.8S ribosomal RNA". Lineage: Eukaryota; Fungi; Basidiomycota; Agaricomycetes; Russulales; Russulaceae. The record is from RNAcentral.